CAUGGGGCCUGUGCUGUCUCAACUGAGAGGUCCUCAUCUGCUGAUUCACUUGCACCUGGGGCUUCUUGGCUGGUCAUCUGGAAAGGUACAAGCUGAAGCUUUAUUUAUCCAAGGCAAUCUUUUAGAAGUCACCCUACGUUUCUCCAAAGUGUCUGGACGCAGUGUGGAGCGUGGUUUAUUUCGUCCAUGUUGCGUGCGGAAGCCUGUGCUGGAGCUCACUGAGGUUUGAAGCCUGUCAUCAACAUACAGACUGACAUGAACUUUCACUGGGGAGCCACAGAGGGCUGUACGGGCAAACAGGAGAAAUGACAGGGUACCAAAGACUGCCCUGUCAGCUGAAGGGCACCCUGGAUGCGUGUCUCUGAGCCCUCACACUCCUGUAACCUGUGAACGGUGGGCAAGCAGAAAAGGUGAUGGGUCAUGCAUCUUCCUGACGCACCGUGAAGCAGGAAGAAAUGGAACAGUAGCUCUGUGUUACAUGUGAGGAGCGAGAAGCACCAACAUGGGUCUUCAUUCUGGAUUUCAUCUUCAAUAUUAAUCCACAGGCUU
RNAcentral lists this long non-coding RNA (549 nucleotides) under Mus pahari (shrew mouse). RNAcentral's name for it is "lncRNA (MGP_PahariEiJ_G0005953.1)". The record is from RNAcentral. Lineage: Eukaryota; Metazoa; Chordata; Mammalia; Rodentia; Muridae.